This 6021-nucleotide ribosomal RNA is filed under the name Triticum aestivum (bread wheat). RNAcentral describes it as "partial small subunit ribosomal RNA". Lineage: Eukaryota; Viridiplantae; Streptophyta; Magnoliopsida; Poales; Poaceae. The record is from RNAcentral.
AUGUCGACCGAGGACGAGAAGCUCCUCAAGGAGGCGAAGAAGCUGCCGUGGGACGAGCGGCUGCAGCACAAGAACUGGAAGGUGCGGAACGACGCCAACAUCGACCUCGCCGCGCUCUGCGACUCCAUCACCGACCCCAAGGACGCCCGCCUCCGCGAGUUUGGACCAUUAUUUAAGAAGGCGGUUUCGGAUUCGAACGCGCCCGUGCAGGAGAAGGCGCUGGAUGCGCUGCUAGCUUUCCAGCGAGCCGCUGAUGCUGAUGUAUCCAGGUAUGCCAAGGAGGUGUGUGAUGCGAUAUGUGCCAAGUGCCUCACUGGUAGGCCUAAGACUGUUGAGAAGGCUCAAGCUGCAUUUCUCCUUUGGGUGGAGCUGGAGGCGUCAGAGGUCUUCCUUGAAUCUAUGGAGAAGGCUGUAAAGAAUAAAGUGGCUAAAGCUGUUGUUCCUGCUAUUGAUGUCAUGUUUCAAGCACUCAGUGAAUUUGGAGCUAAGGUUGUACCACCUAAAAAAAUUCUGAAGAUGCUUCCUGAGCUAUUUGAUCAUCCAGACCAGAAUGUUCGAGCUUCUUCUAAAGGCUUGACGCUUGAGCUUUGUCGAUGGAUUGGCAAAGAGCCUGUAAAGUCAAUCUUAUUUGAGAAGAUGAGGGAUACAAUGAAAAAAGAGUUGGAAGCAGAGCUAGCAAAUGUCUCAGGAAUUGCUAAGCCAACUCGCAAGAUAAGAUCUGAACAAGAAAAGGAGCUUGAGGAGGAAGCUGUGCCAGAGACAACAGGCGCCAGUACUUCUGAAGUUGCAGUGCCAGAUGCCCCUAUGGAGAUUGAUGAAUAUGAUCUUGUUGAUCCUGUGGAUAUUUUAACCCCACUUGAAAAGUCUGGAUUUUGGGAUGGUGUGAAAGCAACAAAAUGGUCGGAAAGAAGGGAUGCUGUUGCAGAGCUUACUAAGCUUGCUUCAACCAAAAAAAUCGCUCCUGGUGAUUUUAAUGAAGUUUCCCGAACACUUAAAAAGCUUGUUACAGAUGUUAAUUUGGCUGUUGCAGUGGAAGCUACCCAAGCAAUAGGGAAUUUAGCUAAAGGUUUAAGAACUCAUUUUUCAGGAAAUUCACGGAAUCUGCUUCCUGUUUUACUUGAAAAACUGAAAGAGAAAAAGCCAACUAUGUCGGAAGCACUGACUCAAACACUCGAAGCAAUGCAUAAGUCUGGUUGUAUUGCUCUUCUUGAUGUGAUUGAAGAUGUUCGGGUCGCUGUAAAAAACAAGGUCCCUCUUGUUCGAUCCUUAACGUUGAACUGGGUUGCAUUUUGCAUUGAAACGAGCAAUAAGGCAACUGUCCUAAAGUUGCACAAGGAGUAUGUUCCUAUCUGCAUGGAGUGCUUGAAUGAUAGCACCCCAGAUGUUCGAGAUUCUUCGUUCUCUGUUUUGACUGCCAUAGCUAAGAUGGUUGGAAUGAAACCCUUGGAACGGUCCCUGGAGAAGUUAGAUGACGUGAGGAAAAAGAAACUUUCAGAUAUGAUUGGCUCUGCCACUGAUACUGUUUUAAGUUCAGGGACAGUACCUACUUCAAGUUCAGGAGCUGCCACAUCUGCUCGGGAGGUUACAGAUAGCUCAACAAUGAGGAGAUCUGCUGCAAGCAUGCUUAGUGGAAAGAAGCCUAUCCAUGCAGCGGCCCCGGCUAAGAAAUCUGGACCAGCAAAAUCAACUGCAAAAAAGACAGAUGGCGGACCACAGUCAAAGGCUUCUGCUGCUCCUGAGAUUGAAGAUGUUGAGCCUUCAGAGAUGAGUUUGGAAGAAAUAGAGGAGAGAUUAAAUUCUGUUGUGAAAACAGAGACAAUUUCACAGUUAAAGAGCACUGUUUGGAAAGAGCGUCUUGAAGCCAUUGGCAUGCUAAAGCAGGAUGUCGAAAAUCUCACAGAACUUGACAAAUCUGCUGAACUCUUGGUCCGUUUAUUAUGUGCUGUGCCUGGAUGGAAUGAAAAAAAUGUGCAGGUUCAACAACAAGUUAUAGAGGUCAUCACCUACAUUGCCUCAACUGUGAAGAAGUUCCCAAAGCGAUGUGUCGUUCUAUGCCUUCUUGGCAUAAGUGAAAGGGUUGCUGAUAUAAAAACCCGAGCGCCUGCAAUGAAAUGUCUUACCGCUUUUUGCGAGGCAGUAGGGCCAGGGUUUGUGUUUGAGAGGUUAUACAAAAUAAUGAAAGAGCACAAGAAUCCGAAGGUUCUUAGUGAGGGCAUUCUUUGGAUGGUAUCUGCCGUUGAAGACUUUGGGACUUCGAAUUUAAAACUAAAGGACAUAAUUGAUUUUUGUAAAGACACGGGUCUGCAAUCUAGCGCUGCUGCAACCAGAAAUUCUACUAUCAAACUGAUCGGGAUGCUGCAUAAGUUUGUAGGGCCAGAUAUAAAGGGUUUCUUAAGUGAUGUCAAACCGGCACUUCUCAGUGCUCUCGAUGCUGAAUAUGAAAAGAAUCCAUUUGAGGGUGCUGCUGCUCCUCCGAAAAGAACAGUUAGAGCUUUGGACACUGCAUCGUCUACGUCUGCUGCCUCAUCAGAUGGCCUGCCGAGAGAAGACAUAAGUUCUAAGAUAACGCCUGCUUUACUGAAAAAUUUGGGGAGCCCAGACUGGAAGUUAAGGCUGGAGUCCAUAGAAGCAGUCAACAAAAUUGUGGAGGAGGCCCAUAAGCGCAUUCAGCCAACAGGAACAGUGGACCUGUUCACGGCGCUAAGAGGCCGUCUUAAUGACAGUAACAAAAACUUAGUUAUGGCGACCUUGUCAUCGAUUGGUGUUCUUGCAUCUGCUAUGGGCCCUUCUGUUGAAAAAUCAAGCAAGGGUAUCUUGGCAGAUGUGCUGAAGUGUAUUGGUGACAAUAAGAAGCACAUGCGAGAGUGCACUUUGACUGCUCUCGAUUCCUGGGUUGCUGCUACUCAACUUGAUAAGAUGGUUCCAUAUAUUGCAGUAGCUUUGGGUGAUCAGAAAAGUGGUUCAGAAGGGCGAAAAGAUCUCUUCGAUUGGUUGUCUAAGCAUGUCUCGAAAAUGAGUGAUCCAGCUGAGGCUUUGCCUUUACUGAAGCCGUCUGCAUCUUCUUUGAUGGAUAAAUCAUCUGAAGUCCGUAAAGCCGCUGAGACUUUUAUGAAUGAAGUUCUCAAGAUUUGUGGCCAAGCAGCGGUUGCAAAGAACUUGAGAGAUCUGCCAUCCCCUACUAUGGCCAUUGUAGCAGAGAGGUUGAAACUGUCCAGUGUGCAUGAAGGAAUAUCUGAUUCUGUAAAGACGGUGACAACAAGUAUGAGUUUGCCAUCAAAAGGUGGUUUGAAGAAUAUCAAACCUGGCCUAAAUGAUCGCUCCUCAAAUGUUGGCAAAGCUGCAUCUCAAAGAGGAGUUCCAGCAAGGGCCUCUGUUACUAUGAUCUCUUCUCAAGACUCGUUACAGUCUCAGGCAUUAUUUAACAUUAAGGACUCAAACAAGGAAGAUCGCGAGCGACGGGUUUUGGUACGUAAAUUCAAGUUUGAAGAACCACGUCGUGAGCAAAUAGACGAACUGAAGGUUGAUUUAUUUAAGCAUUUCCGAGAGGAUGUUAGCUUGCGGUUAUGGAACUCAGACUUUAAGAGGCAAAUAGAUGGUAUUGAGUUACUACAAAAGGCACUUCCUUCAAGUGGCAAAGAAGUGGUUGAGCUUCUCGAUAUACUACUAAGAUGGUUUGUCCUGCGCUUCUGUGAAUCCAACACGACAUGUUUGUUGAAGGUUCUUGACUUUCUUCCUGAGCUAUUUGAUGGUCUGAAAGAUCAAUCUUACAUGUUAACGGAAGCAGAAGCUGCAAUCUUCCUGCCUUGCCUUAUAGAGAAGUCUGGUCACAACAUUGAAAAAGUCAGAGAGAAAAUGGGGGAGCUGAUAAAGCAAAUGAUCAACAUCUAUUCUCUUCCAAAGCUGCUUCCCUAUAUAUUGGAGGGGCUGCGCUCCAAGAACAACCGAACUAGGAUAGAGUGUGUUGACAUUAUUGGAUACUUCAUGGAUCAUAACGGGACCGAGGUUGGUGGCUUGUUGAAAAAUUUGCCAUCUGUCGCGGCAUUAACAGCAGAGCGGGAUGGAGAAAUCAGAAAAGCCGCUCUUAAUACGCUUGCCACUGCUUACAAGAACCUUGGGGAUGAUGUAUGGCGAUAUGUUGGAAAACUUUCAGAUGCCCAACGAAGUAUGCUCGAUGAUAGGUUUAAGUGGAAGGCUCGAGAAAUGGAUAAGAGGAGAGAAGGAAGGCCUGGUGAUGCCCGAGCAGCAUUGAGGCGUUCAGUCAGAGAAAACGGAUCUGAUGUAGCAGAACAGAGUGGGGAAUUGGUUUCUCGUUCAAUGGCAGGAUCAAUGAUGUCAAGGGAAAACUUCGGGUAUGCCGAUGCCCAUACGGUACCUAGGCAGAUGGCAGCAGCAGUGACUGGUCCCGCAGACUGGCGUGAAGCUCUUGAUAUUGUUGCAUUAGGUUUGCCUGAACAGUCUGUUGAAGGAAUGAAAGUCAUAUGCCACGAGCUAACUCAGGCGGUUGAUCCUGAAAGCUCUGCGCUUGAUGAUCUCAUUAAGGAAGCAGACAGAUUAGUUUCAUGCUUGUCUGUUAUGGUUCCAAAAACAUUUAAUUUCAGCCUAUCUGGGGCAUCUUCAAGGUCUUGCAAAUACGUUUUAAAUACUCUCAUGCAGACUUUCCAGAUCAAACGUCUCGCUCACGCAGUGAAGGAGGGUACACUAGAUAACCUUAUCACAGAGCUACUACUAUGGCUUUUAGAUGAGCGGGUUCCUCUUAUGGAUGAUGGCAGUCAACUACUUAAGGCUCUUAAUGUCUUAAUGCUUAAAAUCUUGGAUAACGCCGAGAGAACUUCCUCAUUCGUUGUACUAAUCAAUUUGCUGAGGCCCUUGGACCCUUCAAGAUGGCCAUCCCCUACUCCGUCAGAGUCCCUUGCUGUAAAGAAUCAGAAGUUUUCAGAUUUAGUUGUCAAAUGCUUAAUUAAGUUGACAAAGGUUCUUCAGAGUACAAUAUAUGAGGUUGACCUUGACCGCAUUCUUCAAAGUGUUCAUAUUUAUUUACAAGAACUUGGAAUGGAAGAGAUACGGAGGAGGGCUGGAGCUGAUGACAAGCCAUUAAGAAUGGUCAAAACUGUGCUGCAUGAACUUGUAAAGCUACGAGGCACAGCAAUAAAAGGUCACCUUUCAAUGGUUCCUAUAGACGCUGAGCCUCAGCCAAUCAUCCUGGCAUACAUUGAUCUUAAUCUUCAGACCCUUGCAGCAGCUAGGAUGUUAACCCCAUCUGGACCUAUGGGUCAAACUCACUGGGGUGAUGCAGCAUCAAACACUCCAAAUCCAUCAAUUCAUUCAACGGAUGCACAAUUGAAGCAAGAGCUCGCUGCAGUAUUCAAGAAAAUCGGUGACAAACAAACAUGUACGAUUGGUUUGUAUGAACUCUACCGGAUAACCCAGCUGUACCCAAAGGUUGAUAUAUUCGCUCAGCUUCAGAAUGCAAGUGAAGCAUUUAGAACGUACAUCAGAGAUGGGCUAGCUCAGGUGGAGAAGAAUGCUGCAGCUGGCAGAACACCCUCUAGUCUUCCAUUAUCAACUCCACCUCCAAUAGCAUCAAUACCCUCUCCAAAGUUUGCACCUUCUCCUGUUCAUACAAAAUCGAUAAGUAGCAAAACGGAUUGUAAUGAAGACGACGCCUUCAGAGUCCAAGGAGACUCUGAUUUGAGGUUACAAUCAGAUCAACAGACAGAUAGAUUCCAAUCCUCAGGGACAUUGGAUGCUCUCAGGGAAAGGAUGAAGAGCAUCCAAGCCGCAGCUGUGGGGGGCAAUUUCGAUGUAGCUCAGACUCGGCCACUGUCAAGUAUGAAUGGCAAUGCGCUCCAUGGGGGGGCGCGAGUGGAUGCUGCAGAAGAGCCUGGGCACGGAAUUGAAUUAUCGCUACUGGUGGCUAUUUUUUCUGUUGAGUCCUUUGUAGUAACAUCUGCCCAUGCAUCAAAUGAGCACAAUCUUAAUAGAUGGUUAGUAGGGCAGAUAAAGACCCUAAAUUGGAAAUAG